UCCCAGUUAUGAACAGUUGUUCAUCAGGACUAAAUGCAAUGUUAGUUUGAGCAUAUAAUUAUUUGGGAGAUCAUCGAACACUUUCAAGGGUUCUUUCAUCUGGCGCAAAUCCCAAACCUAUGAAGCCAAGUCAAGAUAAUAUAUACAUCAGAGAAGAUGAAUGCCGGUGUACAUAUUUCGUGCCCAGUCAAACUACAUCACAAAAAUUGAGAUCGAGGAGUACUUUAUGUUCCUUCUAUAAAAUUGGCAGAUUUACUGACAUGAUAUUUUGUUGAACAGGACGCCCAGCCUCGUAAUAUUAUCAUCUUAUGGAAGGCUAUUGUUGAAGCAUUUAACAUGUUUUAAUACUUAAAGUUCAAAAGGUAAUUUUUAGCAUGUCAGCGCGCA
RNAcentral lists this long non-coding RNA (387 nucleotides) under Solanum tuberosum (potato). RNAcentral describes it as "long non-coding RNA (STUB_LNC003914)". Lineage: Eukaryota; Viridiplantae; Streptophyta; Magnoliopsida; Solanales; Solanaceae. The record is from RNAcentral.